AUGAAGCUCAGAGAAAGGGACUCAGAAAACACAGUGGAACCGUUCCUUAAAUGUGGGCUGCCUCUUAUAAGGAAGAAAAAAAGAUGGAGUCUUGCUCUGUCGCCCAGCCUGGUGUACAGUGGCGUGAUCUACAGAGGCUCACUGCAACCUCUGCCUCCCAGGUUCAAGCAAUUCUCCUGCCUCAGCCUCCCGAGUACCUGGGAUUAUAGGUAAGUGCCACCACACUCCACUAAUUUUUGUAUUUUUAGUAGAGACAGGGUUUUGCCUUGUGGCCAGGCUGGUCUUGAACCCCUGACCUCAGGUGAUCCACCCUCCUUGGCUUCCCAAAGUGCUAGGAUUACAGGCAUGAGCCACUGCACCUGGCCGAUGCCACUUCUUAGAAUCAGCGAAAGUAGAAGUGGCUUGCCCAGCCUUUCCCCUCUACAGACUGAAUGUUUGUGUCCUUCCAAAAUUUAUAUUGAAACCUCACCCCCAAUGUGAUAGUAUUAGGAUGUGGAAGCUUUGGUAGGUGAUUAGGUCAGUGAGCAGAACCCUCAUGAAUAGAAUUAGUGCCCUUAUAAACAGGAUUCUAGAGCAGGUAUUCAGUGACCUUUGACCCUCACCCUCAUCCCUUCUGAGGCCAACAUCUCUGCAUUUAGUUGGUCCUUGAUCAAGAGUGCAAAGCCACUUUCCUAUUAUACCAUGAUAGUAUAGUGAGGAAGCGUCUAUGGCCUUCGAACACCCACCUACCAUUUCCUUUAUCACCUGUUCUUUCAUGUAAACUUCAACAGGACUUCUGCUCAAUUUGAACAUGUAAUUGGAAAUUGGGAAUAUUUAGGAUUUUUUCCAUAACAUACAGGGAAUAUGUUUGAUCAUUUUUCCUUCUCUAAACUGCUAGUGACUUUUGCCAUAAGCAUUGUGCUUCUCCAUUGUGACGUAACUGAGUUCUUCGAUGAUGUUUCUUUCACCUGCUAGGUUAGCGUUGCCAUUAUUUCCUGGAACAUCUGAUCCUCAGCUUACAUUUCAGACAUGUUUCCGCUGAAACUCCUGGUGCCUCAGACCCCUAGCUCAGAUCUCCAGUUCCCUUAGCUCAUUUGCUUUUUAGCACAUUUUAAACUUCAGAGACUUCGAACUUUCCCUUCCUUUUGAAGUGGCCAUAACCUGUUAUAUGUAACAACAUCGAUGCUGACAUGAAUAAAGAAUUAGCCCUGAGGCGGGUAAAAGUCCUGCAGUCCAGACUCCACACUGAUAAGACUACCCUGCAGUUAAACGGGGAUAACAAACAGCGAUCGUCUAUCCAGUCCUCUAGACAGCAGAAUGCCCGCUGCUUUAUUGACUGGCAGAAAACAGUUCCCAUUUCAUGAAACAAUAAAAAUUAAAUUGAGUGUAAACUCUCCCAAGGUCACUGCCUCUAACCUUAUAACAUCAGAAAUGAAGGCUGUAAACCCCAUCGUGAACCUUGUGAUCUGGAAGAAGCCAGAGAGUUGAUUCCUGGGCUCCAUGAGCAGCACCCCAUGGGCACUUGGCUGGGCAUGGCCUCUUACAUUUCUUGUCAGAUAAUGACAGGAACGCUCUUCCUCCCCACUUCUGGCCCAUGCCUUCCUGACA
This is a long non-coding RNA of Callithrix jacchus (white-tufted-ear marmoset), 1587 nucleotides long. Lineage: Eukaryota; Metazoa; Chordata; Mammalia; Primates; Cebidae. The record is from Ensembl.